RNAcentral lists this non-coding RNA (91 nucleotides) under unclassified sequences. RNAcentral describes it as "RAGATH-10 RNA". It matches the Rfam family "RAGATH-10 RNA". From Rfam's summary of the family: RNA motif Associated with Genes Associated with Twister and Hammerhead ribozymes (RAGATH). The record is from Rfam by way of RNAcentral.
GAAACCUCAUCUUGCAAGCGCCAUCCGGGCGCCAGAGCAGUAGCAGUGUUUUUUAUAAAACACGGACAUUCCGUCCGGGUGAGGAGAAAGA